RNAcentral lists this ribosomal RNA (1248 nucleotides) under 'Manihot esculenta' witches'-broom phytoplasma. RNAcentral describes it as "bacterial SSU rRNA". It matches the Rfam family "Bacterial small subunit ribosomal RNA", at positions 153 to 1400 of the family's 1533-position model. Lineage: Bacteria; Bacillati; Mycoplasmatota; Mollicutes; Acholeplasmatales; Acholeplasmataceae. The record is from RNAcentral.
GAAACGACUGCUAAGACUGGAUAGGAAAAGUAAAGGCAUCUUUACUUUUUUAAAAGACCUUCUUUGAAGGUAUGCUUAAGGAGGGGCUUGCGACACAUUAGUUAGUUGGCAGGGUAAAGGCCUACCAAGACUAUGAUGUGUAGCUGGACUGAGAGGUUGAACAGCCACAUUGGGACUGAGACACGGCCCAAACUCCUACGGGAGGCAGCAGUAGGGAAUUUUCGGCAAUGGAGGAAACUCUGACCGAGCAACGCCGCGUGAACGAUGAAGUACCUCGGUAUGUAAAGUUCUUUUAUUAAGGAAGAAAAAAGAGUGGAAAAACUCCCUUGACGGUACUUAAUGAAUAAGCCCCGGCUAAUUAUGUGCCAGCAGCCGCGGUAAUACAUAAGGGGCGAGCGUUAUCCGGAAUUAUUGGGCGUAAAGGGUGCGUAGGCGGUUUAAUAAGUCUAUAGUUUAAUUUCAGUGCUUAACGCUGUUGUGCUAUAGAAACUGUUUUACUAGAAUGAGUUAGAGGCAAGCGGAAUUCCAUGUGUAGCGGUAAAAUGCGUAAAUAUAUGGAGGAACACCAGAGGCGUAGGCGGCUUGCUGGGACUUUACUGACGCUGAGGCACGAAAGCGUGGGGAGCAAACAGGAUUAGAUACCCUGGUAGUCCACGCCGUAAACGAUGAGUACUAAGUGUCGGGUAAAACCGGUACUGAAGUUAACACAUUAAGUACUCCGCCUGAGUAGUACGUACGCAAGUAUGAAACUUAAAGGAAUUGACGGGACUCCGCACAAGCGGUGGAUCAUGUUGUUUAAUUCGAAGAUACACGAAAAACCUUACCAGGUCUUGACAUUUUCUUGCGAAGUUAUAGAAAUAUAAUGGAGGUUAUCAGGAAAACAGGUGGUGCAUGGUUGUCGUCAGCUCGUGUCGUGAGAUGUUAGGUUAAGUCCUAAAACGAGCGCAACCCUUGUCGUUAAUUGCCAGCAUGUAAUGAUGGGGACUUUAACGAGACUGCCAAUGAAAAAUUGGAGGAAGGUGGGGAUUACGUCAAAUCAUCAUGUCCCUUAUGAUCUGGGCUACAAACGUGAUACAAUGGUUGAUACAAAGAGUAGCUGAAACGCGAGUUCUUAGCCAAUCUCACAAAAUCAAUCUCAGUUCGGAUUGAAGUCUGCAACUCGACUUCAUGAAGUUGGAAUCGCUAGUAAUCGCGAAUCAGCAUGUCGCGGUGAAUACGUUCUCGGGGUUUGUACACACCGCCCGUCAA